AGCAGUGGGGAAUUUUGGACAAUGGGCGAAAGCCUGAUCCAGCAAUGCCGCGUGAAGUGAUGAAGGCCUUAGGGUUGUAAACUUCUUUUUACCCGGGAUGAUAAUGACGUACCGGGAGAAUAAACUCCCGCUAACUCCUUGCCCACCACCCCGGUAAUACCGAAGGAGCUAGCGUUUUUCCGAAUUGCUGGGCGUAAAGCGCACUGUAGGUGGUUUUUCAAUUCCACGUGAAAGUCCCGAGCUCCACUCUGGAAUUGGCUUUGAGACUGCCUCACUUGGAUCACGGAAAGGUCAGAGGAAUUCCCAGUGGAAACGUGAAAUUGCUAUAAGAUCGGAAAAACCCCCGUGGCCAAGGCCGCUGAGUGGGCCUGACUUGGCGCUGAAG
RNAcentral lists this ribosomal RNA (385 nucleotides) under uncultured bacterium. RNAcentral's name for it is "bacterial SSU rRNA". It matches the Rfam family "Bacterial small subunit ribosomal RNA", at positions 350 to 751 of the family's 1533-position model. The record is from RNAcentral.